RNAcentral lists this ribosomal RNA (497 nucleotides) under uncultured bacterium. RNAcentral describes it as "partial 16S ribosomal RNA". It matches the Rfam family "Bacterial small subunit ribosomal RNA", at positions 28 to 507 of the family's 1533-position model. The record is from RNAcentral.
GAUGAACGCUGGCGGCGUGCCUAAUACAUGCAAGUCGAGCGAACAGAUGAGGAGCUUGCUCCUCCGACGUUAGCGGCGGACGGGUGAGUAACACGUGGACAACCUACCUAUAAGACUGGGAUAACUUCGGGAAACCGGAGCUAAUACCGGAUAAUAUAUUGAACCGCAUGGUUCAAUAGUGAAAGACGGUUUUGCUGUCACUUAUAGAUGGAUCCGCGCCGCAUUAGCUAGUUGGCAAGGUAACGGCUUACCAAGGCAACGAUGCGUAGCCGACCUCAAGGGGAGAUCGGACACACUGGAACAGAGACACGGUCCAGACACCUGCGGGGAGCAACGGCAGGGAAUCUUCCGCAAUGGGGGAAAGCCUAACGGAGCAACACCGCGUGAGUGAUGAAGGUCUUCGGAUCGUAGAGCUCUGUUAGUAGGGAAGAAGAAAUGUGUAAUUAACUAUGCACGUCUUGACGGUACCUAGUCAGAAAGCCACGGCUAACUACGUG